GAUGAACGCUGGCGGCGUGCCUAAUACAUGCAAGUCGAGCGAACAGACGAGGAGCUUGCUCCUCUGACGUUAGCGGCGGACGGGUGAGUAACACGUGGAUAACCUACCUAUAAGACUGGGAUAACUUCGGGAAACCGGAGCUAAUACCGGAUAAUAUAUUGAACCGCAUGGUUCAAUAGUGAAAGACGGUUUUGCUGUCACUUAUAGAUGGAUCCGCGCCGCAUUAGCUAGUUGGUAAGGUAACGGCUUACCAAGGCGACGAUGCGUAGUCGACCUGAGAGGGUGAUCGGCCACACUGGAACUGAGACACGGUCCAGACUCCUAAGGGAGGCAGCAGUAGGGAAUCUUCCGCAAUGGGCGAAAGCCUGACGGAGCAACGCCGCGUGAGUGAUGAAGGUCUUCGGAUCGUAAAACUCUGUUAUUAGGGAAGAACAAAUGUGUAAGUAACUAUGCACGUCUUGACGGUACCUAAUCAGAAAGCCACGGCUAACUACGUG
This 497-nucleotide ribosomal RNA is filed under the name uncultured bacterium. RNAcentral describes it as "partial 16S ribosomal RNA". It matches the Rfam family "Bacterial small subunit ribosomal RNA", at positions 28 to 507 of the family's 1533-position model. The record is from RNAcentral.